RNAcentral lists this ribosomal RNA (460 nucleotides) under uncultured bacterium. Its description in RNAcentral is "partial 16S ribosomal RNA". It matches the Rfam family "Bacterial small subunit ribosomal RNA", at positions 338 to 795 of the family's 1533-position model. The record is from RNAcentral.
CCUACGGGAGGCAGCAGUGAGGAAUAUUGGUCAAUGGGCGCGAGCCUGAACCAGCCAUGUAGCGUGAAGGAUGACUGCCCUACGGGUUGUAAACUUCUUUUAUAAAGGAAUAAAGUGAGGCACGUGUGCCGUUUUGUAUGUACUUUAUGAAUAAGGAUCGGCUAACUCCGUGCCAGCAGCCGCGGUAAUACGGAGGAUCCGAGCGUUAUCCGGAUUUAUUGGGUUUAAAGGGAGCGUAGAUGGGUUGUUAAGUCAGUUGUGAAAGUUUGCGGCUCAACCGUAAAAUUGCAGUUGAAACUGGCAGUCUUGAGUACGUUUGAGGCAGGCGGAAUUCGUGGUGUAGCGGUGAAAUGCUUAGAUAUCACGAAGAACCCCGAUUGCGAAGGCAGCUUACUAAGCUGCGACUGACAUUGAUGCUCGAAAGUGUGGGGAUCAAACAGGAUUAGAUACCCUGGUAGUC